RNAcentral lists this long non-coding RNA (1850 nucleotides) under Anas platyrhynchos platyrhynchos (common mallard). Its description in RNAcentral is "lncRNA (ENSAPLG00000028769.1)". Lineage: Eukaryota; Metazoa; Chordata; Aves; Anseriformes; Anatidae. The record is from RNAcentral.
AAUGACUUCUCAGAAAAGUAACCACUGCUAACAUAAAACCAAGCCCAAAGGUCAUCUCUUUAUUAGACAGAAGAGAUGGAACCAAAGGCUAGCGUCCCCCAGCAAAGUUUUUCCGAGACACUCAGGAGAAGUUACUCAGGGACAGUGUUUGUUCAAACAGUCUGAUUUAUUGUCAUUUUGCUUAAACUAAUGGUCCUAGAACAUUAACUACAAAUCUAUUUCUAUUGACGUGACUAAUCUAUGCGGAAAACAUCUCCUUACUAACAACCUUAACUAUUUUGUCUUAACUACUUUGACUAUUCCUAUUAAUCUAUGCAUCUAAUCUUCAAAUGUAUUCUUCGGUGGAAGCUUGAAGAUACGAGGAGAACCAUGAACUUUGGCACUGGAGCAAGUGAGGGAUGAAACAGGCAGGUUGUUCUCAAACAUUGUCACAAACAACCCCACCUCUGCCUGCAGCUCUCUCAUGAAAAUGGUUCUCUGAAUGGCGUUCGCUGAUGCAGAGUUCUCCCCUGCCACCUCUUCCAUAAUGCUCUGCAUCAUAAGCAGCUUUGGCAGCAGAGACUUCCUGAGCAGGCUCACGAGCAGUUCUGGAUCAUGUUGGUCAUUCAAGUUUAUUUCUUCCUGUUCCUCCUCUUCCUCCCUCAACUCCUCCUCAACUUCUUGUUCCUCUUCUCCUCCAUCGCCAUCCUCACUGCUUGAGCUCCAUGGCUCAGAAUCACCAUCGGUGUCAUCUUUGAUGUUCUUGGGCAGCCAGUACAUGCCAAAAAGAGCCAGAAAAGCUUCCGAAAGUGCCCAGAACUGCCAGUGGUGGCACAUGGCGAGGAACAGGAACACCGUGCUGUUUCUGGUCUGGGGUUCGGUUCCCUUCUCGAUCUCCUGCAGCAGCACCUGCAUCUCCUCCUGCAGCAUCACUUCUCUUUUCUCUAUAAGCUCUUGGGUGGCCUUGUCAGGCUGGUCCCCAACCUUGAGUGUGCUGCAGGCCAUCGGUGAGUGCGGCAGGCGGGGGGAAGGCUGGCCGAGGGCAGGGUCAGGGGCAAAAACGGCAGCCCCCAGGGUGGUUUCUAAGGCUGGGAUGAGGGCGCAGCCCCUCUGGGGAGGGCCUUGGGCUGGGCACAGAGGUGCCCCAGCCAGGGCAAGUGCCCAGAGGCUUUGGGGAUGUGCCAGGCACCUGUGGCCCCAGGAGACGCUGCUGCCCCACAGGGGCUGGGGCCUGGGAGAGCACAAACACCUGCCUGAGGGGGCCUGCAGCCCUGGACGUGCAGCGCUCCCAAACCCUGCCCUUGCUGCCUUCAAGCUCCAUUGCACCCUCUCCUACCUACCCUCGCGUCUCUCUGGCUCCUGUCCCUUCUCCCACAGCCAGCAGCUCCCUCGCACCCAGCCCUGCUAAGCCCCUUCUCUCCCAUCUCUUCCAGACCAUGGCUAUUCUUCUCGUCCGCCUCCUGUCAGUGAUGGGCCUCCUGCAGCUCACACUCAAGGUUGGGGACCAGCCUGACAAGGCCACCCAAGAGCUUAUAGAGAAAAGAGAAGUGAUGCUGCAGGAGGAGAUGCAGGUGCUGCUGCAGGAGAUCGAGAAGGGAACCGAACCCCAGACCAGAAACAGCACGGUGUUCCUGUUCCUCGCCAUGUGCCACCACUGGCAGUUCUGGGCACUUUCGGAAGCUUUUCUGGCUCUUUUUGGCAUGUACUGGCUGCCCAAGAACAUCAAAGAUGACACCGAUGGUGAUUCUGAGCCAUGGAGCUCAAGCAGUGAGGAUGGCGAUGGAGGAGAAGAGGAACAAGAAGUUGAGGAGGAGUUGAGGGAGGAAGAGGAGGAACAGGAAGAAAUAAACUUGAAUGACCAACAUGAUCCA